GACGAACGCUGGCGGCGUGCUUAACACAUGCAAGUCGAACGGAAAGGCCCUGCCUUUGUGGGGUGCUCGAGUGGCGAACGGGUGAGUAACACGUGAGUAACCUGCCCUUGACUUUGGGAUAACUUCAGGAAACUGGGGCUAAUACCGGAUAGGAGCUCCUGCUGCAUGGUGGGGGUUGGAAAGUUUCGGCGGUUGGGGAUGGACUCGCGGCUUAUCAGCUUGUUGGUGGGGUAGUGGCUUACCAAGGCUUUGACGGGUAGCCGGCCUGAGAGGGUGACCGGCCACAUUGGGACUGAGAUACGGCCCAGACUCCUACGGGAGGCAGCAGUGGGGAAUAUUGCACAAUGGGCGGAAGCCUGGUGCAGCAACGCCGCGUGCGGGAUGACGGCCUUCGGGUUGUAAACCGCUUUCGCCUGUGACGAAGCGUGAGUGACGGUAAUGGGUAAAGAAGCACCGGCUAACUACGUG
This 468-nucleotide ribosomal RNA is filed under the name uncultured bacterium. Its description in RNAcentral is "partial 16S ribosomal RNA". It matches the Rfam family "Bacterial small subunit ribosomal RNA", at positions 28 to 507 of the family's 1533-position model. The record is from RNAcentral.